AGCCAAAGUCAGACACUCAAUUGAAUGAGCACCCGCCCCCCAUUAACAAGGUGCUCUGAGAAGGAAUCAGGCAACUCAAGGCAGCGAGUUCCCUGUCCGCAGAGGUAUUCAAGCAAACAGAGGCAACCCAGGAAUGGAGAGCAGUAGGAUUGGACGAGAUGUCCUCUAAUAUUCUACCCAGCCGGAGAUUCUGCGACUGUUGGUGGCACCAACGGAUAUCACUCAUUUCAAAGGGUGGUUUUUCUAUCAUUUUAAUUGUAUUGUAUUUGUAAGUCGGCUCCACGCGGGGUGUGGCCCCAGUGCGGGACUUGAACUCACCACUCUGAGAGGGAGACCUGAGCUGAGAUCAAGAGCUGGAAGCUUGACUGACUGAGCCACCCGGGCGCGCCCUGCCGCCCCCCCCACCCCCGCAAAAGGUGAUUUUUCAUGAAAAUGACACGCAGGAUCAGUAAGACUGCUUAUUCUAGACAUGGAGAGGAGCUGGGGAGGAGGCUUGUUUCCCAGGCAGCAUCACAAAGAAACGGGAAUUUUUUUUGCAUUUCGUAAGAAAUCAUGGAGACACAUUGGCCAGAACAUUGGGCACCAAAAUAAAACAAAA
Long non-coding RNA from Mustela erminea (ermine), 598 nucleotides. RefSeq lists it as uncharacterized. The transcript has 2 exons. Lineage: Eukaryota; Metazoa; Chordata; Mammalia; Carnivora; Mustelidae. The record is from RefSeq and is a predicted model, not a curated record.